AGUAACACGUAGGUGACCUGCCCCGCAGAGGGGGAUAACGGCCCGAAAGGGCUGCUAAUACCCCAUACGAUUGGUAAUUCAUUUUGCCAAUGAAAGUUUCCGCAAGGAGUAUGCUGUGGGAGGGGCCUGCGGCCGAUUAGAUUGUUGGUGGGGUAAUGGCCUACCAAGUCGAUGAUCGGUAACUAGUCUGAGAGGACGAUUAGUCACACUGGCACUGACACACGGGCCAG
This 230-nucleotide ribosomal RNA is filed under the name uncultured bacterium. RNAcentral describes it as "partial 16S ribosomal RNA". It matches the Rfam family "Bacterial small subunit ribosomal RNA", at positions 109 to 334 of the family's 1533-position model. The record is from RNAcentral.